AACGAACGCUGGCGGCAGGCCUAACACAUGCAAGUCGAGCGAGAUCUUCGGGUCUAGCGGCGGACGGGUGAGUAACGCGUGGGAAUAUGCCUCUUGGUACGGAAUAGCCUCGGGAAACUGGGAGUAAUACCGUAUGUGCCCUUUGGGGGAAAGAUUUAUCGCCAAGAGAUUAGCCCGCGUUGGAUUAGGUAGUUGGUGGGGUAAUGGCCUACCAAGCCGACGAUCCAUAGCUGGUUUGAGAGGAUGAUCAGCCACACUGGGACUGAGACACGGCCCAGACUCCUACGGGAGGCAGCAGUGGGGAAUCUUAGACAAUGAGGGCAACCCUGAUCUAGCCAUGCCGCGUGAGUGAUGAAGGCCUUAGGGUUGUAAAGCUCUUUCAGCUGGGAAGAUAAUGACGGUACCAGCAGAAGAAGCCCCGGCUAACUCCGUGCCAGCAGCCGCGGUAAUACGGAGGGGGCUAGCGUUGUUCGGAAUUACUGGGCGUAAAGCGCACGUAGGCGGACCAGAAAGUUGGGGGUGAAAUCCCGGGGCUCAACCCCGGAACUGCCUUCAAAACUAUUGGUCUGGAGUUCGAGAGAGGUGAGUGGAAUUCCGAGUGUAGAGGUGAAAUUCGUAGAUAUUCGGAGGAACACCAGUGGCGAAGGCGGCUCACUGGCUCGAUACUGACGCUGAGGUGCGAAAGCGUGGGGAGCAAACAGG
This 702-nucleotide ribosomal RNA is filed under the name uncultured Paracoccus sp. Its description in RNAcentral is "bacterial SSU rRNA". It matches the Rfam family "Bacterial small subunit ribosomal RNA", at positions 28 to 776 of the family's 1533-position model. Lineage: Bacteria; Pseudomonadati; Pseudomonadota; Alphaproteobacteria; Rhodobacterales; Paracoccaceae. The record is from RNAcentral.